UAGCGAUUUUUAGCUUGUCAGGAGCCAG
Molecule: small RNA, 28 nt
Filed under: Bombyx mori (domestic silkworm)
Lineage: Eukaryota; Metazoa; Arthropoda; Insecta; Lepidoptera; Bombycidae
Description: ovarian small RNA-22432
Source: RNAcentral